AGCAGCAUAUCUGCAAAAUUUUCACACCCGAACACCUUCAUUUGGUUUCAGUUUUCAACAAACAAAUCUAAUCUCAUUAAUUCUUCAACCAAAAUCUCAAGUAUUCAACAGACAAAUCUAAUUUGUCAGCAGCAAAUAUAAUCUCAUUGAAUUCUUCAACCACGCCUAAACUUAGCCGCACUAUUCACCAUAUUUUUUCACACUAGCAGCUUCAGUAUUUACUCCCUAUAAAAGGCAUCCUCACUUACCUAAAAUCCUUAGCAGCUGCAAAGAAUUUUAGACGAAACAAGAUCACCAUAUAUAACUCAGCAACAACAACCAACAAACAAAACUUUCAAGGUAUUCACUAUCUCAUUUGCACGCUUCGGUUUAAUUAGGAAUACAGAAUGGUAGAGAACCUACAUAUGCAUAAAUGGACAUAGCAAAUAUAGCAAACCAUUCGUUUCUGUGAUACAUAAUGAGCUAUUAUAUGUUGUAAAUAAGAAUACAGAAAACCAAGUUUUCAUUCCAAAAUCAAGUCUUUAUACAAAGUUGAAUUUUCUGAAAAUUAUUCAAAUUUACGAACCUAUCGUGAGUGAUAAAACGAGAGAGAAAGGAUGGUGGAUUGUCGGAGCUCUGCGACUCACGGCGACGGCGACUCCAGGAGAGGCGGCUGCCGGAUUCUUGCUGCCAACGGCAGCGGCUGACGGCGGCGCUCCUCCAGCGAGCUGCUGGCCGUCGAUCGCAGGCAAACCAGCGGCGACUCCCGGCGAAGCAGCAGCGGACUCCAGCGGCUCACUCCAGCGGCUCCCAGUCGACGGUUUCAGGCGAGAAGCUCGCCUCGGUGCUCCACGAGCAGUCAGCGGCAGCAGCUCCACGCGGCGGCCUCGCUGGCGACCGGAACGGCCAGGACGCAGGGAGGAGAUGGCCGGAUUUCGGAGCUCUGCAACUCCAGGCCGCGACUCCGGGAACAGCAGCAGACGGCGGCUUAUCGCCGCUGCUUCCCGGCGAAGCUUCCGCAGCGGCGGAGCUUUGUGAGAGAGAGAGAGAGAGGCGGCUGGAUCGAGCGAGAGAGAGAGAUGUUGGGUAGUGUCCGAUUCUUGAGAAUUUAGAGAGAUGAUGAAUAGUGUGUGAGUGUGUUGUGAGAAAGAGAAAGAGAGAGAUGCAGCGUUUUUUUUUUGUUGUUUUAGGAGAUAGGUUCUGUUUUAAUAAUUGAGAGAGAGAGAAGGUUAAGCUUUAAAAAAAAAGGGGAGAACCGAAUUAUUAUGAGAGAAAAACAUUUCACUUUAAUAAA
Molecule: long non-coding RNA, 1273 nt
Filed under: Salvia miltiorrhiza (redroot sage)
Lineage: Eukaryota; Viridiplantae; Streptophyta; Magnoliopsida; Lamiales; Lamiaceae
Description: long non-coding RNA (SMIL_LNC000448)
Source: RNAcentral